CAGGUGGUCAGGUAGAGAAUACCAAGGCGCUUGAGAGAACUCGGGUGAAGGAACUAGGCAAAAUGGUGCCGUAACUUCGGGAGAAGGCACGCUGAUAUGUAGGUGAAGCGACUUGCUCGUGGAGCUGAAAUCAGUCGAAGAUACCAGCUGGCUGCAACUGUUUAUUAAAAACACAGCACUGUGCAAACACGAAAGUGGACGUAUACGGUGUGACGCCUGCCCGGUGCCGGAAGGUUAAUUGAUGGGGUUAGCGGUAACGCGAAGCUCUUGAUCGAAGCCCCGGUAAACGGCGGCCGUAACUAUAACGGUCCUAAGGUAGCGAAAUUCCUUGUCGGGUAAGUUCCGACCUGCACGAAUGGCGUAAUGAUGGCCAGGCUGUCUCCACCCGAGACUCAGUGAAAUUGAACUCGCUGUGAAGAUGCAGUGUACCCGCGGCAAGACGGAAAGACCCCGUGAACCUUUACUAUAGCUUGACACUGAACAUUGAGCCUUGAUGUGUAGGAUAGGUGGGAGGCUUUGAAGUGUGGACGCCAGUCUGCAUGGAGCCGACCUUGAAAUACCACCCUUUAAUGUUUGAUGUUCUAACGUUGGCCCCUAAUCGGGGUUGCGGACAGUGUCUGGUGGGUAGUUUGACUGGGGCGGUCUCCUCCUAAAGAGUAACGGAGGAGCACGAAGGUUGGCUAAUCCUGGUCGGACAUCAGGAGGUUAGUGCAAUGGCAUAAGCCAGCUUGACUGCGAGCGUGACGGCGCGAGCAGGUGCGAAAGCAGGUCAUAGUGAUCCGGUGGUUCUGAAUGGAAGGGCCAUCGCUCAACGGAUAAAAGGUACUCCGGGGAUAACAGGCUGAUACCGCCCAAGAGUUCAUAUCGACGGCGGUGUUUGGCACCUCGAUGUCGGCUCAUCACAUCCUGGGGCUGAAGUAGGUCCCAAGGGUAUGGCUGUUCGCCAUUUAAAGUGGUACGCGAGCUGGGUUUAGAACGUCGUGAGACAGUUCGGUCCCUAUCUGCCGUGGGCGCUGGAGAACUGAGGGGGGCUGCUCCUAGUACGAGAGGACCGGAGUGGACGCAUCACUGGUGUUCGGGUUGUCAUGCCAAUGGCACUGCCCGGUAGCUAAAUGCGGAAGAGAUAAGUGCUGAAAGCAUCUAAGCACGAAACUUGCCCCGAGAUGAGUUCUCCCUGACUCCUUGAGGGUCCUGAAGGAACGUUGAAGACGACGACGUUGAUAGGCCGGGUGUGUAAGCGCAGCGAUGCGUUGAGCUAACCGGUACUAAUGAACCGUGAGGCUUAACCUU
Molecule: ribosomal RNA, 1290 nt
Filed under: Escherichia coli
Lineage: Bacteria; Pseudomonadati; Pseudomonadota; Gammaproteobacteria; Enterobacterales; Enterobacteriaceae
Description: partial 23S ribosomal RNA
Rfam family: Bacterial large subunit ribosomal RNA
Source: RNAcentral